GCACUCUCUCUCUCUCUCUCUCUCUCUGAUAUGGUGCUACCCUCUCCAGCAAAGAGCAACGGUAGUUCCAGCGGUGGCCACCCAUGACUCCUCCUCCAGAUUCGUAUCACCACCGACAGUAGUUGCCCUCUCUCGCUCUGUCAAUAUCUUUUGAAACUAGAAUACCCAUAUGGAGACUUGUCCCAAAAGUCUCUCAAUUUGCCAUAUCUUUAUCGAACCACAGUCCCACUCUGUUCUUCUGGUUUAUCAAAGCGUUUUGGUAGGGUAUUUGGUGCCGGGCAAUGGCUAUGGUUAAGAAUGAAAGACUGCUCCGGCGCCAUCGACCACUUCAGGCAAGUGAUGUCCUUGCUGUGGAGCUUUUGCAAAAAGAUGCACGACUUGCCGUUAGUGGAGAGAUAGGAAAGCCAUGUCCUGGUGGAACCUAAUUAUACUCAAAUCUGGGUACUGCUUUUAGGAGGUCUUGUGUCAGCUGGUAUAUUGGAUGUGUGGGACAUGAUUUCCCAACAGUCUUUUACCUUGCUCUGGGUGGAUCAUUGCUAUCAUACAUUUACUCUGCUCCACCUCUAAAUCUUAAAAAAAAAAGUCAUCUACUGUUAAAGCCCAGACAUUAGAUACUUAUUAGUAGAUACACACGAGCAUUGCAGAACCUUCAAAGGUACCAGAAAAAGGGCAGCUUUUGUCUUUAUUAUUGCAUUUCGGUUGCUGGAUCUUGGCAAUAAUACAGUGCAGGUAACGAAUGCAUCAAAGAGGUCAAGAUCCAAUCUAAACGACCUUCAUAACCUGUGGAAGCAUCUCAUCUUCUCAUCAACUUAGAAGGAAGAGCUGAAAUUAUAGAAUUCACUUGCUUCUUCAAAUCCUGCUGAUGAAAGGACUGCACCUAUAUAUAUAUAUAUUAAUUAUGCUGGUAAAUAGUUUCUCUCUCUCUCUACUCUAAAGUUCAAAAUUUGAGUUUAGUUGUUUUGGGGAGAGAAUGUAAUACAAUGUUUUGGAAUUUGUUGAUGUAUUGUUGGAAAUUUGAGUUUAAUGAAAAAGAUAUAGCAGGAUUGUGUGAU
RNAcentral lists this long non-coding RNA (1052 nucleotides) under Rosa chinensis. Its description in RNAcentral is "sRNA RchiOBHm_Chr7g0209471". The record is from RNAcentral. Lineage: Eukaryota; Viridiplantae; Streptophyta; Magnoliopsida; Rosales; Rosaceae.